This 750-nucleotide ribosomal RNA is filed under the name Clavibacter sp. pfB22. Its description in RNAcentral is "bacterial SSU rRNA". It matches the Rfam family "Bacterial small subunit ribosomal RNA", at positions 8 to 769 of the family's 1533-position model. Lineage: Bacteria; Bacillati; Actinomycetota; Actinomycetes; Micrococcales; Microbacteriaceae. The record is from RNAcentral.
AGAGUUUUGAUCCUGGCUCAGGACGAACGCUGGCGGCGUGCUUAACACAUGCAAGUCGAACGGUGAAGUCAGAGCUUGCUCUGGCGGAUCAGUGGCGAACGGGUGAGUAACACGUGAGUAACCUGCCCCCGACUCUGGGAUAACUGCUAGAAAUGGUAGCUAAUACCGGAUAUGACGACUGGCCGCAUGGUCUGGUCGUGGAAAGAAUUUCGGUUGGGGAUGGACUCGCGGCCUAUCAGGUUGUUGGUGAGGUAAUGGCUCACCAAGCCUACGACGGGUAGCCGGCCUGAGAGGGUGACCGGCCACACUGGGACUGAGACACGGCCCAGACUCCUACGGGAGGCAGCAGUGGGGAAUAUUGCACAAUGGGCGCAAGCCUGAUGCAGCAACGCCGCGUGAGGGAUGACGGCCUUCGGGUUGUAAACCUCUUUUAGUAGGGAAGAAGCGAAAGUGACGGUACCUGCAGAAAAAGCACCGGCUAACUACGUGCCAGCAGCCGCGGUAAUACGUAGGGUGCAAGCGUUGUCCGGAAUUAUUGGGCGUAAAGAGCUCGUAGGCGGUUUGUCGCGUCUGCUGUGAAAUCCCGAGGCUCAACCUCGGGUCUGCAGUGGGUACGGGCAGACUAGAGUGCGGUAGGGGAGAUUGGAAUUCCUGGUGUAGCGGUGGAAUGCGCAGAUAUCAGGAGGAACACCGAUGGCGAAGGCAGAUCUCUGGGCCGUAACUGACGCUGAGGAGCGAAGCAUGGGGAGC